RNAcentral lists this ribosomal RNA (397 nucleotides) under uncultured bacterium. Its description in RNAcentral is "partial 16S ribosomal RNA". It matches the Rfam family "Bacterial small subunit ribosomal RNA", at positions 523 to 918 of the family's 1533-position model. The record is from RNAcentral.
CUACGUAGGUGGCAAGCGUUGUCCGGAAUUACUGGGUGUAAAGGGCGUGUAGGCGGGGCUGCAAGGCAGAUGUGAAAUUCCCUGGCUUAACCCCGGAACUGCAUAUGAAACUGUGUCUCUUGAGUGCUGGAGAGGAAAGCGGAAUUCCUAGUGUAGCGGUGAAAUGCGUAGAUAUUAGGAGGAACACCAGUGGCGAAGGCGGCUUUCUGGACAGUAACUGACGCUGAGGCGCGAAAGCGUGGGUAGCGAACAGGAUUAGAUACCUUGGUAGUCCACGCCGUAAACGAUGGAUACUAGGUGUAGGAGGUAUCGACCCCUUCUGUGCCGGAGUUAACACAAUAAGUAUCCCACCUGGGGAGUACGGCCGCAAGGUUGAAACUCAAAUGAAUUGACGGGG